This 447-nucleotide ribosomal RNA is filed under the name Knersvlaktia nigroptera. RNAcentral describes it as "partial 16S ribosomal RNA". It matches the Rfam family "Archaeal large subunit ribosomal RNA", at positions 1906 to 2596 of the family's 2987-position model. The record is from RNAcentral. Lineage: Eukaryota; Metazoa; Arthropoda; Insecta; Neuroptera; Nemopteridae.
CAUGUCUUUUUGAAAAUAAUUUAAAGUCUAAUCUGCCCACUGAAUUUUUUUAAAGGGCCGCAGUAACCUGACUGUGCAAAGGUAGCAUAAUCAUUUGUCUUUUAAUUGAAGGCUUGUAUGAAUGAUUGAACGAGGUAAAAGCUGUCUCAUUAUUAAAAUUAUAAUAAUUUAACUUUUUAGUCAAAAGGCUAAAAUUUUUUUGAAGGACGAGAAGACCCUAUAGAUCUUUAUAAUAAAUAUUAAUUUUAAAUUUUGGUUAUAAACUAUUUAAGUUUAAUAUUUAUUAUUUUGUUGGGGUGACAUGAAAAUUAAAAUAACUUUUCAUAAUUUCUUACAUUAAUAAAUGUUUUUUUGAUCCUUUAUUAUUGAUUAGAAGAAUAAGUUACCUUAGGGAUAACAGCGUUAUUUUAUUGGAGAGUUCAUAUUGAUAAUAAAGUUUGCGACCUC